UUCAUAAGCACAGCCGUCAGACCACCUUUGUCCUUGGGAGUAUGUCUUGCCGUUGUAAUAGCACUUUCCGUCUGAAGAAAUAAAGCUAAAAAAAGAUUUUUACUGUGAUUGAUACUCACAAUAUCCUGGUUGUCCCUUUGCAUCAGGACCUAAGUGAUAAAAGGAAAUGAUUAUGAUGAAGCUUGUACCGAGCAUCAAAAUUGUUGACAACGUAAACGUGAGAAGCAUCUGGAUCAGUGGCCAUAGCAUCUAAUUCCUGUUUGUUGGCGGUUCCAACGCCGAUAGAGAAGACCGUGACGCCCUGUUGCUGUAGUCGCUGAGCUUCA
Molecule: long non-coding RNA, 326 nt
Organism: Ostrea edulis (European flat oyster)
Lineage: Eukaryota; Metazoa; Mollusca; Bivalvia; Ostreida; Ostreidae
Exons: 3
Source: RefSeq, a predicted model, not a curated record